This 36-nucleotide non-coding RNA is filed under the name Marmota monax (woodchuck). Its description in RNAcentral is "XIST RNA A repeat". It matches the Rfam family "XIST RNA A repeat". The record is from Rfam by way of RNAcentral. Lineage: Eukaryota; Metazoa; Chordata; Mammalia; Rodentia; Sciuridae.
UGGCUCAUCGGGCCGCGGAUACCUGCUUCCAUUUUU